This 441-nucleotide ribosomal RNA is filed under the name Salmonella enterica subsp. enterica serovar Newport. Its description in RNAcentral is "partial 23S ribosomal RNA". It matches the Rfam family "Bacterial large subunit ribosomal RNA", at positions 911 to 1267 of the family's 2925-position model. The record is from RNAcentral. Lineage: Bacteria; Pseudomonadati; Pseudomonadota; Gammaproteobacteria; Enterobacterales; Enterobacteriaceae.
UGUUUCGGCUAGGGGGCCAUCCCGGCUUACCAACCCGAUGCAAACUGCGAAUACCGGAGAAUGUUAUCACGGGAGACACACGGCGGGUGCUAACGUCCGUCGUGAAGAGGGAAACAACCCAGACCGCCAGCUAAGGUCCCAAAGUCAUGGUUAAGUGGGAAACGAUGUGGGAAGGCCCAGACAGCCAGGAUGUUGGCUUAGAAGCAGCCAUCAUUUAAAGAAAGCGUAAUAGCUCACUGGUCGAGUCGGCCUGCGCGGAAGAUGUAACGGGGCUAAACCAUGCACCGAAGCUGCGGCAGCGAACGUAUCACUUAAAGCGAUUCAGCGGGUUACGAUUGACGGAGCGAAGCGACGUCAAAGCGUAUACAAAGUCGAGUCGGUUUAAGGAUACGUUCGUUGGGUAGGGGAGCGUUCUGUAAGCCUGUGAAGGUGGCCUGUGAG